RNAcentral lists this long non-coding RNA (820 nucleotides) under Panax ginseng (ginseng). Its description in RNAcentral is "long non-coding RNA (PGIN_LNC018623)". Lineage: Eukaryota; Viridiplantae; Streptophyta; Magnoliopsida; Apiales; Araliaceae. The record is from RNAcentral.
AGCCUCAGAGAAAUCAAGUAAACAUGAUAAUACAUCAUAUCAAAACUCAUCAGUAAUUAACCGAUCAAUCAUCAAAUCUUAGACUAUUAUUACUGAUGUAGUGCGUGUGUGCUCAACAACAAUGCUAACUGAUAUAAAAUCAAAUUUAACACAUAACAAAUCUCUUUGAAGGCAUCAUACAGUGUAAACUCAAGAAAUUCAAAAACAAGUUAGAUCCAACUAAAAUCAAACAAUUACCACUAUCGAGGGUCAACAUGGGAUACUUAUGCUUUAUUUUCAUCUACGGGGGCUUUUUGCUCUUAUUUCCCGUUUCAUUCUUUUUAUAUAUAUAUAUACACAUAGCGAUGCAAUGUCUUAUUCCCUUAGGCUUUUCAAUGCUACCUUAACGAGCUUUCGACCAACGACUCCCAGACCAUUAAGACCUUAGGGCGCUAGGAGUAAAGACAAUCCCAUCGAGCUUACUUACUCAAGUAACAAAGGCCACAAAACUAGACAAGCAUGCCACGGUGUUUAUUCAUACUUUUUUUUUCUUUUUUCUUUUUUUUUCAAUAGCUUAUAUAUCUCACAUAUUCCCCCAAACUUAGGUUCUUGUCUAACUUUAGUUAUCACUACUUAUUCUUGUCAUUCUUUCAUUCAAACUAGCAUUAUCCUUUAGAAUCCCGUUAUGUAUCAAUUUAAACUCAAUCAAUCAACAAGUUGUUUUUACUGUGCUAUCCUUAUUAUACCAGUUUCAAACAGAAAAAGAUUCAACUCAUAACAGGAAAUCACAUCAAAAGUUCUAAUAAUCAGUAUUAUACUUGUCUAUCUAAUCCCAUUCUCA